GGAGCCGGCCAGACAGUCGCGUCAUUCGCAAGAAUGCCGAGGAAAGUCCGGGCUCCAUAGGGCACGGUGCCAGGUAACGCCUGGGCGGCGCGAGCCGACGGAAAGUGCAACAGAGAGCAGACCGCCGAACGGUCCUUCGGGAUGCGUGGCAAGGGUGAAACGGUGCGGUAAGAGCGCACCGCGAGUCUGGCAACAGACCGGCACGGCAAACCCCACCGGGAGCAAGACCAAAUAGGGAGGCAAUGCCGCGGCCCGCGGUGUCUCCGGGUAGGUUGCUUGAGCGCAGCGGUGACGCUGCGCCUAGAGGAAUGACUGUCCACGACAGAACCCGGCUUACCGGCCGGCUCCGCCA
This 352-nucleotide RNase P RNA is filed under the name Aerolutibacter ruishenii. Its description in RNAcentral is "Lysobacter ruishenii Bacterial RNase P class A". It matches the Rfam family "Bacterial RNase P class A". From Rfam's summary of the family: Ribonuclease P (RNase P) is a ubiquitous endoribonuclease, found in archaea, bacteria and eukarya as well as chloroplasts and mitochondria. Its best characterised activity is the generation of mature 5'-ends of tRNAs by cleaving the 5'-leader elements of precursor-tRNAs. The record is from RNAcentral. Lineage: Bacteria; Pseudomonadati; Pseudomonadota; Gammaproteobacteria; Lysobacterales; Lysobacteraceae.